GUGUCAGCCGCCGCGGUAAUACGGAGGGUGCAAGCGUUAUCCGGAUUCACUGGGUUUAAAGGGUGCGUAGGCGGGCUGUUAAGUCAGUGGUGAAAUCUCAGAGCUUAACUCUGAAACUGCCAUUGAUACUAUCAGUCUUGAAUGUUCUGGAGGUGAGCGGAAUAUGUCAUGUAGCGGUGAAAUGCUUAGAUAUGACAUAGAACACCCAUUGCGAAGGCAGCUCACUACGGAAAUAUUGACGCUGAGGCACGAAAGCGUGAGGAUCAAACAGGAUUAGAUACCCUGGUAGUUCACGCCCUAAACGAUGAUUACUCGACAUACGCGAUACACAGUGUGUGUCUGAGCGAAAGCAUUAAGUAAUCCACCUGGGAAGUACGACCGCAAGGUUGAA
Molecule: ribosomal RNA, 391 nt
Filed under: uncultured bacterium
Lineage: Bacteria
Description: bacterial SSU rRNA
Rfam family: Bacterial small subunit ribosomal RNA
Source: RNAcentral